UACGAGAGGACCGGAGUGGACGAACCUCUUGUGAUCCAGUUGUGGCGCCAGCCGCAUCGCUGGGUAGCGAAGUUCGGUCAGGAUAAACGCUGAAUGCAUAUAAGCGUGAAACCUUCCCCAAGAUGAGAUCUCCCAAGCGUAAGCUAAGAAGGGCACUGGAAGACGACCAGUUUGAUAGGACGGAUGUGUAAGCGCAGUAAUGCGUUGAGCUUACCGUUACUAAUUGCCCGUUCGGCUUGACCAU
Molecule: ribosomal RNA, 244 nt
Filed under: Terriglobia bacterium
Lineage: Bacteria; Pseudomonadati; Acidobacteriota; Terriglobia
Description: partial 23S ribosomal RNA
Rfam family: Bacterial large subunit ribosomal RNA
Source: RNAcentral